UGAACAUCUAAAAACACAUGGAUUUCAAGAUCAGAGACAACAUGGGUUUACUUCAGGGAGAUCAUGCCAAACUAAUCUUAUUGAUUUUUUUGAUUGGGUAACUAAAAUUAUAGAUCAGGGUGGUGCAGUAGACAUUGCUUACCUAGAUUUCAGUAAGGCUUUUGACACUGUUGCACAUAGAAGGCUUAUCAAUAAACUGCAAUCUUUAAGUUUGGAUUCAAAUAUUGUUGAAUGGGUAAGGCAGUGGCUGAGUGACAGGCAACAGAGGGUUGUAGUUAAUGGAAUAUAUUCGAAGGUUGGACUUGUCACCAGUGGGGUACCUCAGGGAUCUGUACUUGGACCCAUUCUCUUUAAUAUUUUUAUUAGUGAUAUUGCAGAAGGUCUUGAUGGUAAGGUAUGUCUUUUUGCUGAUGAUACUAAGAUAUGUAACAGGGUUGAUGUUCCAGGAGGGAUAAGCCAAAUGACAAAUGAUUUAGGUAAACUAGAAAAAUGGUCAGAAUUGUGGCAACUGACAUUUAAUGUGGAUAAGUGCAAGAUAAUGCAUCUUGGACGUAAAAACCCAAGGGCAGAGUACAGAAUAUUUGAUAGAGUCCUAACCUCAACAUAUGAGGAAAGGGAUUUAGGGGUGAUUAUUUCUGAUGACUUAAAGGUAGGCAGACAAUGUAAC
Molecule: non-coding RNA, 667 nt
Organism: Pelobates cultripes (western spadefoot toad)
Lineage: Eukaryota; Metazoa; Chordata; Amphibia; Anura; Pelobatidae
Source: the annotation of a GenBank genome assembly